AGAGUUUGAUCCUGGCUCAGGAUGAACGCUAGCUACAGGCUUAACACAUGCAAGUCGAGGGGAAACGACAUCGAAAGCUUGCUUUUGAUGGGCGUCGACCGGCGCACGGGUGAGUAACGCGUAUCCAACCUGCCCAUCACUUGGGGAUAACCUUGCGAAAGUAAGACUAAUACCCAAUGACGUCUCUAGAAGACAUCUGAAAGAGAUUAAAGAUUUAUCGGUGAUGGAUGGGGAUGCGUCUGAUUAGCUUGUUGGCGGGUAACGGCCACAAGGCGACGAUCAGUAGGGGUUCUGAGAGGAAGGUCCCCCANAUUGGAACUGAGACACGAUCCAAACUCCUACGGGAGCA
RNAcentral lists this ribosomal RNA (349 nucleotides) under uncultured bacterium. RNAcentral's name for it is "bacterial SSU rRNA". It matches the Rfam family "Bacterial small subunit ribosomal RNA", at positions 8 to 349 of the family's 1533-position model. The record is from RNAcentral.